RNAcentral lists this unclassified non-coding RNA (170 nucleotides) under Myrothecium gramineum. Its description in RNAcentral is "sequence contains ITS2". The record is from RNAcentral. Lineage: Eukaryota; Fungi; Ascomycota; Sordariomycetes; Hypocreales; Stachybotryaceae.
CAACCCUCAGAGCCCGCCUGCUUGUUCAGGCGCGGCGCUGGUGUUGGGGAUCGGCCUAACCGCCGUCCCCCAAAUACAGUGGCGGUCUCGCUGCAGCCUCCCCUGCGUAGUAGCAACACUCGCAUGCGGAGCGCGGCGCGGCCACGCCGUAAAACCCCCGACUUUCUGAA